This 52-nucleotide small RNA is filed under the name Archaeoglobus fulgidus. The record is from RNAcentral. Lineage: Archaea; Methanobacteriati; Methanobacteriota; Archaeoglobi; Archaeoglobales; Archaeoglobaceae.
GCAGCUUUUAACCUUAUCACAAAGGUCGCUCCGUGGGGCUUUGUAUCUUCAU